AGUCAGCAGCAGUCAGAAACUGGUCCAGACAUAUACAUGCAACAGUAUCCAGGUUUCUUUCGGAGUACUCCAGCUAGCAUAAUCUAGAGUUUCAAAACUGUAACGGAUGGAUUUGUCACUCAAACUGGACUUCUUGAAUUGUACCUGAAACCCACCAACGCAACCCCUUGUAUUUGGUCUGAAAGCCUGCUCCCAGUCUCCCAGUUACUCAGUUUGAGUUUCUGCUUUGAGCUAAAUGCUAACAUCAGCAUGCUAACAUGUUCACAAUAGCUAGGUCUCCAUCCAAGUGUAGAGUAGAUUAUGAGAAUAUUUUCAGAAAACUGCUAAAAGAAAAUGUAUGUAACUUCACAUCCAGGUCUGAGCGUAACUCCACCCACUGCAUAAUUUUGAAAAUUGCUAAAAAGUGGGCAACCUGUCUGUAACUUGGUUUAUUUUCACAUGAAGACAAUUUUAGCAACUUUAGACCUACUAGAGGACAUCUCUCCAUCUGUGACUGUUGGCGGAAGGAAGCCGACAGGUUCAGUAACAGUGGAUCUCCGAUUGCACUGUGAUUUACCGUUUUAAAACAAGAAUUUACCAGCUGAUAACUGCAGAAACAGACAGACGGAGGGUUAAAGAGCUACUGGAUGAAAUGCGAAGAGGAUUUCUGUUGUUUUUGUGGCUGCCAGCAGUGUUUCCUCCCACAGACAGUCACAGAUGGAGAGAUUUCCUCCAGCAGGUCAGUGCUACUGUUAGCUGCUAUUAGCUCCUGAAACUAAAACUGUCUUGAUUAGCAUAUAUUUGAAAAUGAGCGCAGUUCUCGGGGAGGUAGGCGUUAACAUUCUACCAUUUAUAUAAAGUUCAUGACGUAGAGAACUCCGAAACAGCCGACUCUACAUGGCAGGGCCAAUGCUGACAGCAAAUGACGGGUUGAAACACUUUCAACAUUGAUGUGUUUCAUCACAGUACAGUCAUAUAAUUUAGUUUAAAGUUCAUUUAACACAUUUAAGUGUGCAGUGCCUCUUUAAACUAUUGCAGAGGAAGAAGGCGCAAGAUGACAUAAUUAAAAGAGCAGCAGUCAAACCUAAAAUGGUGAAAAACUGUAGAAAAGAUAAUAUGACAUUUAUUUAUCCACACAGAUGUGAUGUUUUUGUUGGUCGCUAUUUGUCAUCUCUUCAGUGGUGCAGAAACUUCAGUGGUUGUUUAAAUCCAUCGAUAUGGGCUAUAUGCCACAUUCAGGCUUGUGAGAUGGGUCUCUGCCGCUGCCAUCUUGCUCAGGGGUUCUGACUGGUUCUGACUGACCCGUUUCUGGGUUAUAUACCCAUUUCAUAGAAAUGUCAGACUUUUGUGCUGGUUUGGAUGUUCCAAAGAAAGAAAUGCCAAAACUAAGCAACGGGGAAUACAAUUUCACAGAUUCCCAAAAGAUAAAGUAAAAAGACAGGUAUGGACAGCAGCACUGAGGAGAAGAGACUUUGAGCCAAAUGACUGUUCAAGCGUCUGCAGCUGUCAUUUCAAGUUAGAAGACUUUGACAGGACUGGACAGACAGCUCGUUUAAAGGAAUGAGUGAUCCCGUCAGUUUAUACAUUUCCUGACCAUAUUUGCAAAGUGCCCAGUACAUCCAGGUCAAGCAGGACGUCUCAAAAAGCAAAAAAGAGAGCAGCUGCAGAAUGUCUGGAUGGUCAUGUUGAGCUCUCAGAGGACCUGGAGGAGUCAACCUCACAAAGCAUCUCUCACUCCAAGACAGUCAGCCCCAACCCAUUUGAACUCUUUAAGCCACACCAUGCCUGAGCACUCAAAGGGAAUUUGCUUUAACGCUGCAUUUGCAUGGACCUAAAGCCUCCAGCUACUUGAGAAUCAAUCAAGAUACCACUCCCACAUCCUCACACUCUUCAAAAGUGGUUGCAGAGUGUGGAUGCCAAGCCUGGAUUAAACACAUAACUUUUAGAUAUGCUACAACAAUGAAAAACUGAAGAUCUGGCAAGAUUCGGUCAAGUGUGUCUUAUGGUGGAUGCCAUGGCCAUCAGGAGGCAGGGAUCAGUAUGACUCUCACACACAAACAAUGACAGGCUUUGUGGAUCUUGGAGACGGCAUUGAUGUGACCAGUGUGGCAAGUGAAGCAUUUGUGUUUAUAGUUGUUGGACUGCAAGGCCACUGGAAGACACCCAUUGCCUACUUCUUUAUCAAGACAUUGAUACAAGACACCCAAAAGGUUGAACUGCAGCAUGCCUCUGAGGCACUACAUGAGCGAGGCAUUAAAGUACUGUGUACAACAAUGGAUGGACAUUUUUCCAACAUCAGCAUGUACACUAUGCUUCAAUGCCAGCUCAAACUGAAUCCUUUGAAGCCUCUCCAGACAUAUUUUGCCCACCAAUCUACAGGGGAAAAAGUGGUUGUGAUGAUGGACCCAUGUCACAUGUUGAAAUUGGCUAGGAACAUGUUACAGGCAUACAGCCAUCAUCAGUCCCUCUGGGAUAGUGAGAUGGAGCUACAUAUCAGAGCUGAAUGAUGAAGAGGAAGAAGACGGUCUGCAUGCUGCCAACAGUAUCAUAAGAAAGCACAUAAACUUCAGCACUCAGAAGAUGGAGGUGUCCCUGGCAGCGCAGACAGUAAGCCGGUCUGUGGGAAAGUCUCUGCACGUGCUUGAGCAAGCUGGGUAAACACAGCUCAAGAAUUGUUCUCCAACAGCUGAAUUUAUUGAGGUGAUCCUUGAAAAGUUCAUUGGUACUUCUACUUUUAAGUAUUGUGUAAAUGUAAUGUAUAAGGAUAUAAAGCUGCAACAGUUAGUGGAUUAAUUGAUUAGUCGAUCGACAGAAAAUUAAUCUGCAACAAUUUUGAUAAUCAAUUUAUCUUUUAAGUCGGUUAUCAAGCACUAAUGAUAAACAUUUUCUGUUCCCUGCUUCUCAAAAUGUGGGAAUUUGCUGCUUUUCUUUAUCUUAUAUCAUUAUAAAUUGAGUAUCUUUAGGUUUUGGACCAUUGGUCGCACAAAAUAACAUCUUAGUCACUUGUGAAUUAAGAUGAGCAUUUUUCACUAUUUCCUGACAUUUUUGGACUAAUUAAUUAAUUGUUAAAAUUUAGCUCUAUUAUGAAACCUGUGUGAGUGAUUUUAGCCCAUAAACAAAAUAAUUCUCUCUAAAAUGCUUGAUUGGCAUUUAAUAUACAUGGAUUGUUGAAGCUUUGCAGCUGUAUUACAGUGUGUGUAUAAUUUCAAUAUUUACCAGCCAUAAGGAAUAUUUCUUUUAGGUGACUGACAGAUUGUUUGAUGUGAUGAAACAGCAGAGAUCCAUGUGCCAAAGGCUUUAAGACUCCACUAGAGAAGAGACAUUAGAGUUGAUGACUGAAGCUUUACUUGACUAUGUUGACAAUAAAUGAUGGCACUCCACUUUAUCGCCCAAAGAGGUGUUUGUUUUUUUUCAUAAGUAAAGUAAAUGCCACCAUUAGGCCUGUCAGAAUCUUUAUAUAUUGCAAAGAUUUUCCUAAAUAGUAGCACUAGUUGGUGCCAGGGAAAAUAUUUGCAGUGUUGAUCUUAGAUGUUGGUGAAUGUUUCAUUUCUUAAUAUCAAUCUCAACAGCUGGAGUAAAAUAAAUGGAGCAUACCUUGGAUUAUUAGAAUUGGCUUAUCAGAGAUGUUUGCCUUCACUAACAUUUUAAGAGUAAGUUUUCCUUUUGCAGGGCCUUCAAAAAUGGAACAAACAAUAACCAGAAGAAUGUAAUAAUAAUAUAACCAUACUGAAGCUAACUCUAGAUUGUUUACUUUCAUUGACCUAAAGCCAUUGCUUCAGAAAGAUUUACUCUUUGAAACUUUUGUGGUGUUUAGUUCUAUGUUCAUUUGAUUUUCUUUGAUGUGUUCAAAAAACAUCUGCUUGCUGUUCCAGUGUGGUGCUCUUUUGGUACCUUUAUCCAUUUGAUUACUUGAAAAAUGUUGGGAACUUCGUAUCAGAAGAAGAAAGUUUGGGUAAUGUGUUAAGAUUUGUAAAAAGCAACAUCAUUACUACAUUAGGAUAUCUCUAGUUGAGUAUUUGCAUGUGCUGUUUUUUCGUAAUUACUACAAAAGUAGUUCUCAGUUGGGUUCAGUUUCCUCUAUUUUCCAUGUGUGUUCUUGUUAGAAUCAUAUAAUAAUAUGUACUUUAAAAUUGUUAAAUAUCUUAAGACUGAGUUUAUGGUUUUAUACAGUAAGUAUUUGCAUACUGAUGUUUUUCUAUAUUUCAAAGAUAUCCGUCUGUGACUAGUUUUGUUAUCAACAUUGACCCUGAUGAUAGCAGAGCUGCUUCAGUCACAGCAGUAUGUGUGCACAUAAAGCUUCAGCCAGGACCAUUUGGAGCUCCUCUUUAAUUCCAUCAGGGCCUCAGGUGGAUGGAACGACAACCCAAGUGUGGUUCACUUUCAGAGUAUUUUCCACAGUCUCAUGGUCUGCCACUAAUUUUUCCAGGAAACACAGGCAACAUCAGAGCACAGGAUGACACUCUGUCUCUGGCAGCUGUCAACAUGUCAUCUGUAGCGCCAGCUGAGGACUCUGACAUUGCAUCCUCUCCAUCCGAGAAUGUCGCUAGUGUGGUGUUGGACCACAGCUACCUGCCAGCUAGCUUUGACUGCCUAAUCGAGAAUGCUCUGGUUUACAUUGCAGAUUUUGUUGUCAGGCAGGAUCAGGCAUGAAGCAGCUUUGUGAUGUAUGCUGUAACAGUUUGGUUUGUAAGGCUGUACCAGCAUCAUUUUGUGAUGGCUAUCACCUGCUAACCUUGAAAAACAAUGCAGGUCUGAUGAUAGGUAAAGUCAAGGUACUGCUCAGCAGAGCACUGCAUCCGACGGGCCACAAACAUUUCAUCUGCAGCACAUCAAUACACUGUCUCUGGUCAACCGUGUUGUCAUAGCAAACAUAGGUUUUGAAGAUGUGUUUGAUCUUUGUGACCAUAUUGACCAUACACUUUGGCCUCAUAUCUUUAAUCUAGAGCAGCUUUCAUAAGUUGAGGCAAUAUGUAACAAAAAUUCACACUCUACAAUUGCAGAGUGGCAGCUUGAGGAAGAAGCUGUGUAAAGUAAUGUUGUUACAGGGUUGUUAGAGAAGAACUUCUCUGUUGUGACAUUAUGAGUGAACAUGUAAAUCCUGAAGUGAAUGUGUAGCUUUAGUUUGCUGCUGAUACACUGUAAAUUAGCAUUUAUUGUUUCUGUGUGACUUAAAAUGUAAAUUAGGAUUUAUUGUUUCUGCUGAUACACUGUAUAUAUUUGUAUAUUUAUGAGAUUAAAGCUAAGUUUGUAUUGUUCAUCUCUCUUGUGUGAACAUGCAGCCCUAGGUCAUUUAUUUUCACUUGUACAAAACUAGCAUUUGUUUCUCAGAAUGUGUAACUAUUACACUGCAACUCUGCACAACCCUGCUGAUACACUGUAUGUAUGUUUUUUGUCCAUAUUAUGUCCAAAUUUAAAUGUAAAUUAGCAUGUAUUUCUGAAAUUACAAACAAAAUGACAUCAUGGUAGCCAUUUUACAGGCAUUAAGAAAAAAGAAUAUACUUAGAAACUAAUUACAUAGGGUGAGUUCAUUUUAAAUAUUAUAUUAUAGAACUAUUACUGUUACUAUCUACAUAAGAUAAAGUACUUUGAUACGAAAACUCACAUUUUUUAAUUUAACCAUGUAUCCUAUAUCAUGAAUACAUGACUUGCAUGUAACAAACCAUAGGGCUUCCCCUGACCAAUAUGGCGGCUGCAAUGACGCAUCACUCCAAUGAACAGCAGCACCCAAUGAGUUAUCUAUGUGUAUUGUUGCUUUCGCAUGCUCAUUGGAUGGUCCCAAGAAUUGCUUGAGUUGGGAAGUCGUUCUUUCGACUUUGGUGUGUUCAUGAGCUUUUAAGUUGUAAUGUGGAAACAACAUGGACGCUACAAAGGAGAUGUGUGGUAUUUUGUCUCUUGACUUGUUGCUGCACCAGUAAAUUCCCUAAAAACACUUAAAUAUUACUUAACCUGACUUGGUUUCAGGGUUAACUUUUCUAACUAAUCUAGGUCACUCUACGUGGACAGUAUUUAAUGGUUGC
This is a long non-coding RNA of Thunnus maccoyii (southern bluefin tuna), 5996 nucleotides long. RefSeq lists it as uncharacterized. Lineage: Eukaryota; Metazoa; Chordata; Actinopteri; Scombriformes; Scombridae. The record is from RefSeq and is a predicted model, not a curated record. The transcript has 7 exons.